GGGUGCGUGGCUCAGCUGGUUAGAGCGCACGGUUCACAUCCGUGAGGUCACAGGUUCGAAUCCUGUCGCGCCCA
Molecule: transfer RNA, 74 nt
Filed under: Pseudomonadota bacterium
Lineage: Bacteria; Pseudomonadati; Pseudomonadota
Also listed under: 1 other name
Description: tRNA-Val
Rfam family: tRNA
About the family: Transfer RNA (tRNA) molecules are approximately 80 nucleotides in length.
Source: RNAcentral